RNAcentral lists this ribosomal RNA (862 nucleotides) under uncultured bacterium. Its description in RNAcentral is "bacterial SSU rRNA". It matches the Rfam family "Bacterial small subunit ribosomal RNA", at positions 518 to 1378 of the family's 1533-position model. The record is from RNAcentral.
CGGUAAUACGGAGCGGUGCAAGCGUUAAUCGGAAUUACUGGGCGUAAAGCGUGCGUAGGUGGUUUGUUAAGUUAGAUGUGAAAGCCCUGGGCUCAACCUAGGAACUGCAUUUAAAACUGGCGAACUAGAGUAUAGGAGAGGAAAGUGGAAUUUCAGGUGUAGCGGUGAAAUGCGUAGAUAUCUGAAGGAACAUCAAUGGCGAAGGCAGCUUUCUGGACUAAUACUGACACUGAGGUACGAAAGCGUGGGUAGCAAACAGGAUUAGAUACCCUGGUAGUCCACGCCGUAAACGAUGACAACUAGCCGUUGGGAGGAUUUACCUCUUAGUGGCGAAGCUAACGCGUUAAGUUGUCCGCCUGGGGAGUACGGCCGCAAGGCUAAAACUCAAAGGAAUUGACGGGGACCCGCACAAGCGGUGGAGCAUGUGGUUUAAUUCGAUGCAACGCGAAGAACCUUACCUGGUCUUGACAUACACGGAACUUUCCAGAGAUGGAUUGGUGCCUUCGGGAACCGUGAUACAGGUGCUGCAUGGCUGUCGUCAGCUCGUGUCGUGAGAUGUUGGGUUAAGUCCCGUAACGAGCGCAACCCUUAUCCUUAUUUGCCAGCACAUCAUGGUGGGAACUAUAAGGAGACUGCCGGUGAUAAACCGGAGGAAGGCGGGGACGACGUCAAGUCAUCAUGGCCCUUACGACCAGGGCUACACACGUGCUACAAUGGGAAGGACAAAGGGUCGCAACCUCGCGAGAGCAAGCUAAUCUCAUAAACCUUUUCGUAGUCCGGAUCGGAGUCUGCAACUCGACUCCGUGAAGUCGGAAUCGCUAGUAAUCGUGGAUCAGAAUGCCACGGUGAAUACGUUCCCGGG